GACGAACGCUGGCGGCGUGCCUAAUACAUGCAAGUAGAACGCUGAAGAGAGGAGCUUGCUCUUCUUGGAUGAGUUGCGAACGGGUGAGUAACGCGUAGGUAACCUGCCUUGUAGCGGGGGAUAACUAUUGGAAACGAUAGCUAAUACCGCAUAACAAUGGAUGACACAUGUCAUUUAUUUGAAAGGGGCAAUUGUUCCACUACAAGAUGGACCUGCGUUGUAUUAGCUAGUAGGUGAGGUAAUGGCUCACCUAGGCGACGAUACAUAGCCGACCUGAGAGGGUGAUCGGCCACACUGGGACUGAGACACGGCCCAGACUCCUACGGGAGGCAGCAGUAGGGAAUCUUCGGCAAUGGGGGCAACCCUGACCGAGCAACGCCGCGUGAGUGAAGAAGGUUUUCGGAUCGUAAAGCUCUGUUGUAAGUCAAGAACGGGUGUGAGAGUGGAAAGUUCACACUGUGACGGUAGCUUACCAGAAAGGGACGGCUAACUACGUGCCAGCAGCCGCGGUAAUACGUAGGUCCCGAGCGUUGUCCGGAUUUAUUGGGCGUAAAGCGAGCGCAGGCGGUUUGAUAAGUCUGAAGUUAAAGGCUGUGGCUCAACCAUAGUUCGCUUUGGAAACUGUCAAACUUGAGUGCAGAAGGGGAGAGUGGAAUUCCAUGUGUAGCGGUGAAAUGCGUAGAUAUAUGGAGGAACACCGGUGGCGAAAGCGGCUCUCUGGUCUGUAACUGACGCUGAGGCUCGAAAGCGUGGGGAGCGAACAGGAUUAGAUACCCUGGUAGUCCACGCCGUAAACGAUGAGUGCUAGGUGUUGGAUCCUNUCCGGGAUUCAGUGCCGCAGCUAACGCAUUAAGCACUCCGCCUGGGGAGUACGACCGCAAGGUUGAAACUCAAAGGAAUUGACGGGGGCCCGCACAAGCGGUGGAGCAUGUGGUUUAAUUCGAAGCAACGCGAAGAACCUUACCAGGUCUUGACAUCCCGAUGCUAUUUCUAGAGAUAGAAAGUUACUUCGGUACAUCGGUGACAGGUGGUGCAUGGUUGUCGUCAGCUCGUGUCGUGAGAUGUUGGGUUAAGUCCCGCAACGAGCGCAACCCCUAUUGUUAGUUGCCAUCAUUCAGUUGGGCACUCUAGCGAGACUGCCGGUAAUAAACCGGAGGAAGGUGGGGAUGACGUCAAAUCAUCAUGCCCCUUAUGACCUGGGCUACACACGUGCUACAAUGGUUGGUACAACGAGUUGCGAGUCGGUGACGGCGAGCUAAUCUCUUAAAGCCAAUCUCAGUUCGGAUUGUAGGCUGCAACUCGCCUACAUGAAGUCGGAAUCGCUAGUAAUCGCGGAUCAGCACGCCGCGGUGAAUAAGGUCCCGGGCCU
This 1369-nucleotide ribosomal RNA is filed under the name uncultured bacterium. Its description in RNAcentral is "bacterial SSU rRNA". It matches the Rfam family "Bacterial small subunit ribosomal RNA", at positions 28 to 1381 of the family's 1533-position model. The record is from RNAcentral.